CUAGCCUCGGCGGUCAGUCUAUAAUCACGUGUGUUGUGCAAUUGAGAUUGAUGAUCCAGUAGAAUCAGUGAAACUUUGUAAUAUUUUAAUUUACAAGUGUGUGCGUAUCAUUCAUUUGGAUUUCGUUACGAGAUGUAUUGACAAGUUCGUAAACAACGCGUUCGUUGGAAAUAAAUUCUUAAUUAAUAAAAUGUCAACAUCGACGAGCAUCUGCUUAACCCUCCGCAUAUCAGCAUUUGCGAAGCCUUGAUCUCCACUUUGAGCGAUGAUGAUGACGACGAUUUGCUGUUUUUCUCGCAACGACGCUUAAAGAAGAAAAGAUUCGUGGAAACGUCGGACGCUGCCAAACCAGAGACAGCAGAAGCGGACAGAGAGGUAUUCUUCCAACAAGCGCCGCGGCAACGAGAUGAAGAGGAUGGAUGCAUUUAUUGGUAUGAUUACUACAAUGAUGAGGUAUGUAAUUAGCAUAUAUACUAAUGAUUAAUUAUAUAAGGCUUUUUGUUUAGAUUCCUCUCAUCUGCGUAUUUUCUACAAUAGUUUAUAUUUUUCAGCUCGAAGAGGUCUGUGAACCAUCUGAAGACUACGCUAAUGCUAAGCGCAUGGCUCUAAGAAAGAUAGGUUAUUAAUACCGACUCUAAUGUCUUCUGGAAUUUUUACGUAAUAAACUGAAUA
This is a long non-coding RNA of Vanessa atalanta (red admiral), 672 nucleotides long. RefSeq lists it as uncharacterized. The record is from RefSeq and is a predicted model, not a curated record. The transcript has 5 exons. Lineage: Eukaryota; Metazoa; Arthropoda; Insecta; Lepidoptera; Nymphalidae.